AUUGAACGCUGGCGGCAUGCUUUACACAUGCAAGUCGAACGGCAGCGCGGGCUUCGGCCUGGCGGCGAGUGGCGAACGGGUGAGUAAUACAUCGGAACGUGCCCAGUAGUGGGGGAUAGCUCGGCGAAGGCCGGAUUAAUACCGCAUACGACCUGAGGGUGAAAGCGGGGGAUCUUCGGACCUCGCGCUAUUGGAGCGGCCGAUGGCAGAUUAGCUAGUUGGUGGGGUAAAGGCCUACCAAGGCGACGAUCUGUAGCUGGUCUGAGAGGACGACCAGCCACACUGGGACUGAGACACGGCCCAGACUCCUACGGGAGGCAGCAGUGGGGAAUGUUGGACAAUGGGCGAAAGCCUGAUCCAGCAAUGCCGCGUGUGUGAUGAAGGCCUUCGGGUUGUAAAGCACUUUUGGCGGGAACGAAAAGGACUGUGCCAAUACCACGGUUCGAUGACGGUACCCGCAGAAUAAGCACCGGCUAACUACGUG
This 484-nucleotide ribosomal RNA is filed under the name uncultured bacterium. Its description in RNAcentral is "partial 16S ribosomal RNA". It matches the Rfam family "Bacterial small subunit ribosomal RNA", at positions 29 to 507 of the family's 1533-position model. The record is from RNAcentral.